AGUGAACGCUGGCGGUAGGCCUAACACAUGCAAGUCGAAGGCAGCACAGUAAGAGCUUGCUCUUACGGGUGGCGAGUGGCGGACGGGUGAGGAAUACAUCGGAAUCUACUUUUUCGUGGGGGAUAACGUAGGGAAACUUACGCUAAUACCGCAUACGACCUACGGGUGAAAGCAGGGGAUCUUCGGACCUUGCGCGAUUGAAUGAGCCGAUGUCGGAUUAGCUAGUUGGCGGGGUAAAGGCCCACCAAGGCGACGAUCCGUAGCUGGUCUGAGAGGAUGAUCAGCCACACUGGAACUGAGACACGGUCCAGACUCCUACGGGAGGCAGCAGUGGGGAAUAUUGGACAAUGGGCGCAAGCCUGAUCCAGCCAUACCGCGUGGGUGAAGAAGGCCUUCGGGUUGUAAAGCCCUUUUGUUGGGAAAGAAAAGCAGCAGGUUAAUACCCCGCUGUUCUGACGGUACCCAAAGAAUAAGCACCGGCUAACUUCGU
Molecule: ribosomal RNA, 490 nt
Filed under: uncultured bacterium
Lineage: Bacteria
Description: partial 16S ribosomal RNA
Rfam family: Bacterial small subunit ribosomal RNA
Source: RNAcentral